AGAGUUUGAUCAUGGCUCAGGAUUAACGCUAGCGGCAGGCCUAAUACAUGCAAGUCGAACGGUAACACGGGUAGUAAUACCUGGUGACGAGUGGCGCACGGGUGCGUAACGCGUAUGUAAUCUACCUCUAACUGGGGAAUAGCCUUCCGAAAGGAAGAUUAAUACCGCAUAAUAUAAAGGAGAGACAUCUCCCCUUUAUCAAAACUCAGGUGGUUAGAGAUGAACAUGCGUGACAUUAGCUAGUUGGUAAGGUAACGGCUUACCAAGGCUACGAUGUCUAGGGGGUCUGAGAGGAUGAUCCCCCACACUGGUACUGAGACACGGACCAGACUCCUACGGGAGGCAGCAGUAAGGAAUAUUGGACAAUGGGGGCAACCCUGAUCCAGCCAUGCCGCGUGAAGGAUUAAGGCCCUAUGGGUCGUAAACUUCUUUUAUAAGGGAAAAAACCCCUCUAUGCGUAGGGGGUUGAUGGUACUUUAUGAAUAAGGGUCGGCUAACUUCGUGCCAGCAGCCGCGGUAAUACGAAGGACCCGAGCGUUAUCCGGAUUUACUGGGUUUAAAGGGUGCGUAGGUGGACCUGUAAGUCAGUGGUGAAAGCCCGAAGCUCAACUUCGGAACUGCCAUUGAUACUGCUGGUCUUGAGUAUAGUUGAGGUAGGCGGAAUAUGUCAUGUAGUGGUGAAAUACUUAGAUAUGACAUAGAACACCGAUUGCGAAGGCAGCUUGCUAAGCUAUAACUGACACUGAUGCACGAAAGCGUGGGGAGCAAACAGGAUUAGAUACCCUAGUAGUCC
This 793-nucleotide ribosomal RNA is filed under the name uncultured bacterium. Its description in RNAcentral is "bacterial SSU rRNA". It matches the Rfam family "Bacterial small subunit ribosomal RNA", at positions 8 to 796 of the family's 1533-position model. The record is from RNAcentral.